RNAcentral lists this ribosomal RNA (489 nucleotides) under Dineutus unidentatus. Its description in RNAcentral is "partial large subunit ribosomal RNA". It matches the Rfam family "Bacterial large subunit ribosomal RNA", at positions 1840 to 2587 of the family's 2925-position model. The record is from RNAcentral. Lineage: Eukaryota; Metazoa; Arthropoda; Insecta; Coleoptera; Gyrinidae.
UUUUUUUGGAAAGUAUAACCUGCCCACUGAAUUAUUUAAAUGGCCGCAGUAUUUUGACUGUGCAAAGGUAGCAUAAUAAUUAGUUUUUUAAUUAAAAGCUUGUAUGAAUGGUUGGACGAGGUAAAUACUGUCUUUAAAUAAUUUAAGUAGAAUUUAAUUUUUGAGUUAAAAAGCUCAAAUAAUUUUAAAAGACGAGAAGACCCUAUAGAUCUUUAUUAUUUUAAUUUUAAAAUUAUUUUGAUUUUUAAAAUUUUUAAUUUUAAAAUAAUUUUAUUGGGGUAAUAUAAAGAUUAAAGAAAUUCUUUAUUUUUGAAAACAUAAAUUUAUGGUUUUUUUGAUCCAGUUUUAUUGAUUAAAAGAUUAAGUUACCUUAGGGAUAACAGCGUAAUUUUUUUAAAGAGUUCAUAUCGAUAAAAAAGAUUGCGACCUCGAUGUUGGAUUAAAAGUAAUUUUAGGUGCAGAAGCUUAAAGUUUUGGUCUGUUCGACCA